UAGGGAAUCUUCGGCAAUGGACGAAAGUCUGACCGAGCAACGCCGCGUGAGUGAAGAAGGUUUUCGGAUCGUAAAACUCUGUUGUUAGAGAAGAACAAGGACGUUAGUAACUGAACGUCCCCUGACGGUAUCUAACCAGAAAGCCACGGCUAACUACGUGCCAGCAGCCGCGGUAAUACGUAGGUGGCAAGCGUUGUCCGGAUUUAUUGGGCGUAAAGCGAGCGCAGGCGGUUUCUUAAGUCUGAUGUGAAAGCCCCCGGCUCAACCGGGGAGGGUCAUUAGAUACUGGGAGACUUGAGUGCAGAAGAGGAGAGUGGAAUUCCAUGUGUAGCGGUGAAAUGCGUAGAUAUAUGGAGGAACACCAGUGGCGAAGGCGGCUCUCUGGUCUGUAACUGACGCUGAGGCUCGAAAGCGUGGGGAGCAAACAGG
Molecule: ribosomal RNA, 429 nt
Filed under: Gemmatimonadota bacterium
Lineage: Bacteria; Pseudomonadati; Gemmatimonadota
Description: Gemmatimonadetes bacterium partial 16S ribosomal RNA
Rfam family: Bacterial small subunit ribosomal RNA
Source: RNAcentral